This 295-nucleotide RNase P RNA is filed under the name Candidatus Bathyarchaeota archaeon. RNAcentral's name for it is "RNase P RNA component". It matches the Rfam family "Archaeal RNase P". Rfam says of the family: Ribonuclease P (RNase P) is a ubiquitous endoribonuclease, found in archaea, bacteria and eukarya as well as chloroplasts and mitochondria. The record is from RNAcentral. Lineage: Archaea; Thermoproteati; Candidatus Bathyarchaeota.
GUGAGCCGGUGGGCGGCCGCCGGGCCCGGAAGGGUCUGAGGAAACUCCAUCCACCGAGCAGGGCUGCGACGCUGAAAGGCGUGGCGCGAGAGCGUCGGCUCCGGACAGAAACGACACCUCCCCCGGCAAAUGCUGUGAGCCCCGGUCAGGGGCGAGGACGCCGUGGGGCAGGGGUGAGACGGCCGACCCGCAGGGUGAAAGGGCGAAUAGGCGCCGGGUCCCUCCUGCAGGGGGCGCGGGUAGCCCGUAUAGCUGAAUGCUGCCUAGAACAGAAGGUGGGUUACGACCGGCACAC